RNAcentral lists this ribosomal RNA (305 nucleotides) under uncultured bacterium. RNAcentral's name for it is "bacterial SSU rRNA". It matches the Rfam family "Bacterial small subunit ribosomal RNA", at positions 335 to 636 of the family's 1533-position model. The record is from RNAcentral.
ACUCCCUACGGGACGCAGCAGUGAGGAAUAUUGGUCAAUGGCCGCAGGGCUGAACCAGCCAAGUCGCGUGAGGGAUGACGGUCCUAUGGAUUGUAAACCUCUUUUGUCAGGGAGCAAAGGGCGCCACGUGUGGCGCUUUGCGAGUACCUGAAGAAAAAGCAUCGGCUAACUCCGUGCCAGCAGCCGCGGUAAUACGGAGGAUGCGAGCGUUAUCCGGAUUUAUUGGGUUUAAAGGGAGCGUAGGUGGAUUGUUAAGUCAGUUGUGAAAGUUUGCGGCUCAACCGCAAAAUUGCAGUUGAAACUGG